AAACUUACUUGGCUGGGAGGAUGUCGCGAUCAGGAAGGCGAGACCUCCAUGGUGAGGCCCAUGCACUGCACCUCAGCAAGGGCUGAACCGUGUGGCAACCUCGGGUGAGGUUAGCCAACAGCUAAAUUUUUGCGUGUGGGGCGGCGCUCGCGCGGCCCUGU
Molecule: non-coding RNA, 161 nt
Organism: Necator americanus (New World hookworm)
Lineage: Eukaryota; Metazoa; Nematoda; Chromadorea; Rhabditida; Ancylostomatidae
Source: Rfam